GGAUGCGAUCAUGCCAGCACUAAAGCACCGGAUCCCAUCAGAACUCCGAAGUUAAGCGUGCUUGGGCGAGUGUAGUACUAGGAUGGGUGACCUCCUGGGAAGUCCUCGUGUUGCAUUCC
Molecule: ribosomal RNA, 119 nt
Filed under: Aegilops tauschii subsp. strangulata
Lineage: Eukaryota; Viridiplantae; Streptophyta; Magnoliopsida; Poales; Poaceae
Source: RNAcentral